RNAcentral lists this ribosomal RNA (301 nucleotides) under uncultured bacterium. RNAcentral's name for it is "partial 16S ribosomal RNA". It matches the Rfam family "Bacterial small subunit ribosomal RNA", at positions 509 to 807 of the family's 1533-position model. The record is from RNAcentral.
CAGUCGCCGCGGUAAUACGUAGGGUGCAAGCGUUAUCCGGAAUUAUUGGGCGUAAAGAGCUCGUAGGCGGUUUGUCGCGUCUGCUGUGAAAACUGGAGGCUCAACCUCCAGCCUGCAGUGGGUACGGGCAGACUAGAGUGCGGUAGGGGAGAUUGGAAUUCCUGGUGUAGCGGUGGAAUGCGCAGAUAUCAGGAGGAACACCGAUGGCGAAGGCAGAUCUCUGGGCCGUAACUGACGCUGAGGAGCGAAAGCAUGGGGAGCGAACAGGAUUAGAGACCCCAGUAGUCCCUGUCUCUUAUAC